AUGAUUACAUUGCAAGCUCGAGGAUGGAACAUGAGAAAGAAGAGCAAUCUACACGAGUACCUUUCUCAAAGAUAUGUCAAGAUAAUGAAAAGGACAAGAGAAAUGGAGCAGGAGGUAGAGGCCUUGAAAGUGGAACUGGGGAAGACUGAAGUGGAACUCCAGCAGUGGGUUACUGAUGUGAAGGAUUGGGCCGCAGCAACUCCAAAUGACAUCAGUCCUGAUGAUGCUCCUGGGUUACAGCGUGUCAUGGAAGGUUUGGCCCCAAGUAUCCAGCAGAAGAAAGUGGAUAAAUAUCGGCAGACUGACAGCAAUAAGGCCAGGCAGCGCAUUCAAACAAAGAUUGCAAAGGACAAAACUAAAUUAAGCCAAGCCAUGGACUUCUACAACAGGCUUGUCUCUGCUGAAGAUGCUGUUGGUCCAGUUGAUGUCAUCCUGGCUGCAGAGUGUCCUUUAUGGCCAUGGGAUAUGGAAGCAUAUAUGUAGCAAAAUUCAAAUGGCAAUGCAAUUUGG
Molecule: long non-coding RNA, 510 nt
Filed under: Gadus morhua (Atlantic cod)
Lineage: Eukaryota; Metazoa; Chordata; Actinopteri; Gadiformes; Gadidae
Description: lncRNA (ENSGMOG00000024404.1)
Source: RNAcentral